GGAUAAUCUACCCUUAGGACCGGGAUAACCCUGGGAAACUGGGGAUAAUACUGGAUAGGCAAUUAUUCCUGUAAUGGUUUUUUGUUUAAAUGUUUUUUCGCCUAAGGAUGAGUCUGCGGCCGAUUAGGUAGUUGGUUAGGUAAUGGCUUACCAAGCCGUUGAUCGGUACGGGUUGUGAGAGCAAGAGCCCGGAGAUGGAACCUGAGACAAGGUUCCAGGCCCUACGGGGUGCAGCAGGCGCGAAACCUCCGCAAUGUGAGAAAUCGCGACGGGGGGAUCCCAAGUGCCAUUCUUAACGGGAUGGCUUUUCAUUAGUGUAAAGAGCUUUUGGAAUAAGAGCUGGGCAAGACCGGUGCCAGCCGCCGCGGUAACACCGGCAGCUCUAGUGGUAACAAUUUUUAUUGGGCCUAAAGCGUCCGUAGCCGGUUUAAUAAGUCUCUGGUGAAAUCCUGCAGCUUAACUGUGGGAAUUGCUGGAGAUACUAUUAGACUUGAGACCGGGAGAGGUUAGAGGUACUCCCAGGGUAGAGGUGAAAUUCUGUAAUCCUGGGAGGACCGCCUGUUGCGAAGGCGUCUAACUGGAACGGUUCUGACGGUGAGGGACGAAAGUUAGGGGCGCGAACCGGAUUAGAUACCCGGGUAGUCCUAACUGUAAACGAUGCGGACUUGGUGUUGGGGUGGCUUUGAGCUGCUCCAGUGCC
Molecule: ribosomal RNA, 700 nt
Filed under: uncultured archaeon
Lineage: Archaea
Description: bacterial SSU rRNA
Rfam family: Archaeal small subunit ribosomal RNA
Source: RNAcentral